CCUACGGGGGACAGCAGUGAGGAAUAUUGGUCAAUGGGCUUACGCCUGAACCAGCCAAGUCGCGUGAGGGAAGACUGCCCUAUGGGUUGUAAACCUCUUUUGUCAGGGAGCAAUUGGCGCUACGUGUAGCGUUAUCGAGAGUACCUGAAGAAAAAGCAUCGGCUAACUCCGUGCCAGCAGCCGCGGUAAUACGGAGGAUGCGAGCGUUAUCCGGAUUUAUUGGGUUUAAAGGGUGCGUAGGCGGAAUGCCAAGUCAGCGGUAAAAUCGCGGGGCUCAACCUCGCUCCGCCGUUGAAACUGGCGUGCUUGAGUGGGCGAGAAGUAUGCGGAAUGCGUGGUGUAGCGGUGAAAUGCAUAGAUAUCACGCAGAACUCCGAUUGUGAAGGCAGCAUACCGGCGCCCAACUGACGCUGAAGCACGAAAGCGUGGGUAUCGAACAGGAUUAGAUACCCCGGUAGUC
RNAcentral lists this ribosomal RNA (460 nucleotides) under uncultured bacterium. Its description in RNAcentral is "partial 16S ribosomal RNA". It matches the Rfam family "Bacterial small subunit ribosomal RNA", at positions 338 to 795 of the family's 1533-position model. The record is from RNAcentral.